UUGGUGGGGUGAUGGCCUACCAAGGCGACGACGGGUAGCCGGCCUGAGAGGGCGACCGGCCACACUGGGACUGAGACACGGCCCAGACUCCUACGGGAGGCAGCAGUGGGGAAUAUUGCACAAUGGGCGGAAGCCUGAUGCAGCGACGCCGCGUGAGGGAUGACGGCCUUCGGGUUGUAAACCUCUUUCAGCAGGGACGAAGCGCAAGUGACGGUACCUGCAGAAGAAGCGCCGGCCAACUACGUGCCAGCAGCCGCGGUAAGACGUAGGGCGCGAGCGUUGUCCGGAUUUAUUGGGCGUAAAGAGCUCGUAGGCGGCUUGUCGCGUCGACUGUGAAAUCCCGCGGCUCAACUGCGGGUCUGCAGUCGAUACGGGCAGGCUAGAGUUCGGUAGGGGAGACUGGAAUUCCCGGUGUAGCGGUGAAAUGCGCAGAUAUCAGGAGGAACACCGAUGGCGAAGGCAGGUCUCUGGGCCGAUACUGACGCUGAGGAGCGAAAGCGUGGGGAGCGAACAGGAUUAGAUACCCUGGUAGUCCACGCUGUAAACGUUGGGCGCUAGGUGUGGGGGACCUCUCCGGUUCUCUGUGCCGCAGCUAACGCAUUAAGCGCCCCGCCUGGGGAGUACGG
RNAcentral lists this ribosomal RNA (626 nucleotides) under uncultured bacterium. Its description in RNAcentral is "bacterial SSU rRNA". It matches the Rfam family "Bacterial small subunit ribosomal RNA", at positions 249 to 885 of the family's 1533-position model. The record is from RNAcentral.